Non-coding RNA from Pelobates cultripes (western spadefoot toad), 245 nucleotides. Lineage: Eukaryota; Metazoa; Chordata; Amphibia; Anura; Pelobatidae. The record is from the annotation of a GenBank genome assembly.
UGGUGCUUGGAAUAUUCCUAAGUCUGGUGUGUAUUUCAUAAGCAUAUUUCUUUUAUGAAAUAUGUUCAUGUUGACUGGAAUUUAACUAAAAUUAGUAAGAGCCCCACACACACGAGAUACAUAGAUGCCACCAUCUCAAAACAUGCAAAACCCCCAAAAACCAACAGUGCUGCUUUUAAUAAAACUCCCAUGUCAUAGACAUGUGCAAGCAGUGUCUGGGCAAAUUUUAAUACAGGGCUUCAUUU